This 153-nucleotide unclassified non-coding RNA is filed under the name uncultured Podospora. Its description in RNAcentral is "partial internal transcribed spacer 2". The record is from RNAcentral. Lineage: Eukaryota; Fungi; Ascomycota; Sordariomycetes; Sordariales; Lasiosphaeriaceae.
CAACCAUCAAGCCCCUGCGCUUGUGUUGGAGCCCUGCGGCUGCCGCAGGCUCCCAAACCCAGUGGCGGGCUCGUCGUCGUACCGAGUGCAGUAAACUUACCACGCUCAGGGCACGCGACGGGUGACCGGCCGUAAAACCCCCCACUUUCUCAA